AACGAACGCUGGCGGCGUGCCUAACACAUGCAAGUCGUACGAGAAAUCCUGAGCAAUCGGGAGAGUAAAGUGGCGCACGGGUGAGUAACGCGUGGGUAACCUAUCCUUCAAUUGGGGAUAACUCUUCGAAAGGAGGGCUAAUACCCAUUAAUAUUCUGACUCCUCAGGGAGUUGGAAUUAAAGGUGGUCUCUGCAUGCAAACUACUGGUGAAGGAUGGGGCCCGCGUACCAUUAGCUUGUUGGUAGGGUAAUGGCCUACCAAGGCAACGAUGGUUAGCUGGUCUAAGAGGAUGGCCAGCCACACUGGAACUGAGACACGGUCCAGACUCCUACGGGAGGCAG
This 342-nucleotide ribosomal RNA is filed under the name uncultured Pseudomonadota bacterium. Its description in RNAcentral is "bacterial SSU rRNA". It matches the Rfam family "Bacterial small subunit ribosomal RNA", at positions 29 to 351 of the family's 1533-position model. The record is from RNAcentral. Lineage: Bacteria; Pseudomonadati; Pseudomonadota.